CGAGCAGCUGCGGGCCCGGGGCGUCGAGCUGCGGCUCGAGACCGCGGUCAAGGAGGUCCGUCCCGACUCGGUCCUGCUCGCC
RNAcentral lists this transfer RNA (82 nucleotides) under Actinomycetospora sp. NBRC 106375. Its description in RNAcentral is "tRNA-Ser". Lineage: Bacteria; Bacillati; Actinomycetota; Actinomycetes; Pseudonocardiales; Pseudonocardiaceae. The record is from RNAcentral.